AUCAGCCAAGGGUGUCUGCAUCGGACAACACUCAACUCGGGAUUGGCACCCAGCCAGUGCCCUACACUAUACAAGAUGCCACUGUAGGGACAGGGAUGACCUCUAGCAAGCCCGGGUCUGCACUCUACUGGGAUUUGCUGGGCUAGAUUCUCAGAGGAGCUCAACAUUGAUUGAGUUCCUCGCUCCACGUUAAAUCUUUGGAAAAUUAACUAAAGAUCUCCUAGUAAGAUGCUUGUAACUUACUACAUAAGGUGAAAUAGUGACUUUACAGUACAAAAACUAUAACCCAAGUAUUACCACCAGCAGCGGGCUAAAUCAACACCACAGGCCCCGUGAUCAAUAUAUGUGAUGAGGACAUUACAUCCUGGUGUUGUUGCCCCAAGUCUUGACGUGAAUCUGACCACAAGGACAAUUCGGACAACCUGAAAUGGUGACGCAUUCUACAAAAUAAACAUCAAUGUCAUGAAAGACAAAGACUCAAGAUUUUCUGCUUAAUGGAGACUAAAGAGAUGCGACAACAGAAUGCCAGGCAUGAUCUUGGAUAUUCUUUUGGCUCAAACAGUCUUAGGACAAUUGAAAAAACGUGAAUGAGGUCUGUAGCUAAUAGAAUUGUGUCAAUGCCACAUCCUUGGUUUUGUUAAUUGCAUUGUGGUUACAGAAGAGAAUCCCUUUGUUUUCAGGAAAUGCACACAGCAGUAUUUAAUAGUAAAGGCACAUCUUGUCUGCAA
Homo sapiens (human) is the source of this 728-nucleotide long non-coding RNA. Ensembl annotates it as long intergenic non-protein coding RNA 2189. The record is from Ensembl. Lineage: Eukaryota; Metazoa; Chordata; Mammalia; Primates; Hominidae.